This 253-nucleotide ribosomal RNA is filed under the name uncultured bacterium. Its description in RNAcentral is "partial 16S ribosomal RNA". It matches the Rfam family "Bacterial small subunit ribosomal RNA", at positions 524 to 776 of the family's 1533-position model. The record is from RNAcentral.
UACGUAGGGUGCGAGCGUUGCCCGGAUUUAUUGGGCGUAAAGGGCGCGUAGGCGGCCACGCACGUCCGUUGUGAAAUCGCCCGGCUCAACUGGGCGGGGUCAGCGGAUACGGUGUGGCUCGAGCAAGCUAGGGGGCAAUGGAAUUCCCGGUGUAGUGGUGGAAUGCGUAGAUAUCGGUAGGAACACCAGUGGCGAAGGCGGUCUCUUGGGGCAUUCUUGACGCUGAGGCGCGAAAGCUGGGGGAGCGAACGGG